Molecule: ribosomal RNA, 497 nt
Filed under: uncultured bacterium
Lineage: Bacteria
Description: partial 16S ribosomal RNA
Rfam family: Bacterial small subunit ribosomal RNA
Source: RNAcentral
GAUGAACGCUGGCGGCAUGCCUAAUACAUGCAAGUCGAGCGACCGGACGAGAAGAUUGCUUCUCUGAUGUUAGCGGCGGACGGGUGAGUAACACGUGGAUAACCUACCUAUAAGACUGGGAUAACUUCGGGAAACCGGAGCUAAUACCGGAUCAUAUUUUCAACCGCAUGAUUCAAAAGUGAAAGACGGUCUUGCCGUCACUUAUAGAUGGAUCCGCGCUGCAUUAGCUAGUUGGUAAGGUAACGGCUUACCAAGGCAACGAUGCAUAGCCGACCUGAGAGGGUGAUCGGCCACACUGGAACUGAGACACGGUCCAGACUCCUACGGGAGGCAGCAGUAGGGAAUCUUGCGCAAUGGGCGAAAGCCUGACGGAGCAACGCCGCGUGAGUGAUGAAGGUCUUCGGAUCGUAAAACUCUGUUAUUAGGGAAGAACAUAUGUGUAAGUAACUGUGCACAUCUUGACGGUACCUAAUCAGAAAGCCACGGCUAACUACGUG